CUACGGGUGGCUGCAGUGGGGAAUAUUGCACAAUGGGGGAAACCCUGAUGCAGCAACGCCGCGUGAGUGAUGACGGCCUUCGGGUUGUAAAGCUCUGUCUUCAGGGACGAUAAUGACGGUACCUGAGGAGGAAGCCACGGCUAACUACGUGCCAGCAGCCGCGGUAAUACGUAGGUGGCAAGCGUUGUCCGGAUUUACUGGGCGUAAAGGGAGCGUAGGCGGAUUUUUAAGUGGGAUGUGAAAUACCCAGGCUCAACCUGGGUGCUGCAUUCCAAACUGGGAAUCUAGAGUACAGGAGGGGAGAGUGGAAUUCCUAGUGUAGCGGUGAAAUGCGUAGAGAUUAGGAAGAACACCAGUGGCGAAGGCGACUCUCUGGACUGUAACUGACGCUGAGGCUCGAAAGCGUGGGGAGCAAACAGGAUUAGAUACCCUGGUAGUC
RNAcentral lists this ribosomal RNA (439 nucleotides) under uncultured bacterium. Its description in RNAcentral is "partial 16S ribosomal RNA". It matches the Rfam family "Bacterial small subunit ribosomal RNA", at positions 339 to 795 of the family's 1533-position model. The record is from RNAcentral.